AACGAACGCUGGCGGCAUGCCUAACACAUGCAAGUCGAACGAGACCUUCGGGUCUAGUGGCGCACGGGUGCGUAACGCGUGGGAACCUGCCCUUAGGUUCGGAAUAAUUCCCCGUAAGGGGUGCUAAUACCGGAUAAUGUCUUCGGACCAAAGAUUUAUCGCCGUUGGAUGGGCCCGCGUCGGAUUAGUUAGUUGGUAGGGUAAAAGCCUACCAAGGCGACGAUCCAUAGCUGGUCUGAGAGGAUGAUCAGCCACACUGGGACUGAGACACGGCCCAGACUCCUACGGGAUGCAGCAGUGGGGAAUAUUGGACGAUGGGCGAGAGCCUGAUCCAGCAAUGCCGCGUGAGUGAUGAAGGCCUUAGGGUUGUAAAGCUGUUUUACCCGGGAUGAUAAUGACAGUACCGGGAGAAUAAGCUCCGGCUAACUCCGUG
This 433-nucleotide ribosomal RNA is filed under the name uncultured bacterium. RNAcentral describes it as "partial 16S ribosomal RNA". It matches the Rfam family "Bacterial small subunit ribosomal RNA", at positions 29 to 507 of the family's 1533-position model. The record is from RNAcentral.